AGAUUGAACGCUGGCGGCAUGCUUUACACAUGCAAGUCGAGCGGCAGCGCGGGGGCAACCCUGGCGGCGAGCGGCGAACGGGUGAGGAACACAUCGGAACGUGCCCCGGAGUGGGGGAUAACGCCGCGAAAGCGGCGCUAAUACCGCAUAUGCUCUGAGGAGGAAAGCGGGGGACCUGUGAGGGCCU
This 187-nucleotide ribosomal RNA is filed under the name uncultured soil bacterium. RNAcentral's name for it is "partial 16S ribosomal RNA". It matches the Rfam family "Bacterial small subunit ribosomal RNA", at positions 26 to 210 of the family's 1533-position model. The record is from RNAcentral.